UAGAAUAUAGCUAAAUAGAAAAGCAUCUCAUUUACACCGAGAAAACAUUCGUGCAAAUCGAAUUAUUCUAA
RNAcentral lists this transfer RNA (71 nucleotides) under Pisodonophis cancrivorus (longfin snake-eel). Its description in RNAcentral is "tRNA-Val". It matches the Rfam family "tRNA". From Rfam's summary of the family: Transfer RNA (tRNA) molecules are approximately 80 nucleotides in length. Their secondary structure includes four short double-helical elements and three loops (D, anti-codon, and T loops). The record is from RNAcentral. Lineage: Eukaryota; Metazoa; Chordata; Actinopteri; Anguilliformes; Ophichthidae.